AAAAAAAACGCGAAAUGCUCUGAUUUCAGUCUCACUCCCUUGCAGAGCCCAAAAUCCUAGCCUCUCUUCUCUCUCACUCCCUUGCUCGCCCCUGUUUUCGAAUGUGACAUGGCCACCGACGGCUUCCCACCCCUCCCACCCCUCUAUCUUUUGCUAUAAACCGAAAAGAUAUAUAGAUCUACAUCUACAUCUUCUCCGGUGGGCCAACCAAACCCGUCUUUCCGAAAUGAGUACUACUAGUUUAAAGGCCGUAGCAAUCUCCGCCACCACCUACUACUAGUUUAAAGGCCAUAGGAAUCUCCAACUCGGUCUUUGUUUUCUACGCGAAAGUGACCGAUUGGCUGUUUCCAAAAGAGGUACUCAUCGAUUCAGUCCUCCCCUAAUCUGUUAGGGUUAGGUCUAAUUGUGUUUUGAUCUGAAAUAUUAUGUACAUCGGUUUGAUUUGGUUGUUUCAUCAUUCUCAAGUGUAAUUAUAUUCAAGUUAUUUAGUAUAUUGUUGAAUCUAUUGGUUUAUUUGUCAAGUGUUAUUUUUGAUUUAAUCUAUUUAGUUUUUUUUGGUCGCCACACUCAUCCUGUCUGGUUUGCGCUUAAAGUCUUACUGGGAUACUUAAUCUGUUAGUUUGAGGUAUUUUGAGAGCCGGACAAGAAUGAACCUCUUCUUUUCCGGAAGUUCCAACAUGAUAAUGAGAAAAAGGCAGGAUUUGAUUCAGUUUUUUCAGCAUUUGAUUUUCAUCUUACUCGUAGCCUCUGAAAAAAACAAACAUUUUCUGUUGUGCAUAAAAGAAAUAUUUAAAUUAAUUUAGAUAAACCUUAGUUUAUAAGGUAUCAUGUUGUAUUUAUUUUUAGUUAUUCAAGCAAUCAUAUAGGAAUCAUUUGAUUACUGAAUAGAAGGUUUAUCUAUGUAGUUCAGAUAUUUUGGCAUUUGGGUCACAGUCAUGCUAGACUUGUGGUGAACUUAUGUAUGUCUUAAUUUGGAUUCCUGCAAAACUAAGGUACUGCUAAACUGUAUUAAAGAUGUUGCCACCUGAGUCAUCUCAUGAGGACAAUGUUUACAUGGCCAAGCUCGCCGAAAGGCUGAAAGGUAUGAGGAAAUGGUUGAGUUCAUGAAAAAAUUGGUUAGAGUGAACAUGGUUUUAAGAUAUUAAAUGCUUGUUUACUUGGUUCUAUACAUGAAUCUAGAGAAUGUCUAUAAAAGUUUUCUUUACUAAUAAUGUUUGAAAACUUUAUGGCAGCUUUGAUACCUAAAAUUAAAAGUUGAUCAAUCUCCAUGUUGUGUUGUGCUGUGGAUUAUCAACACACAAUGGAGCUUCUAUUUUAUUAGUUAGAGAGCAAGACGUUGUAAAAAGGCUUGGUAGAAAGUAUAAGGCCUUUUUGCCCAGUCAUGGAACUUGAACCAUUCCAUAUAUAAUUUUGAUAAAAAAAAAAAGUGGCCAAUUCCCCCCAAAAACUUCCCCCAACGACAAAAUGGUUUAGCUUUUUGCCUUUAUCCUCCUCUUUCUUAAUUUAGUGUAUAAGGUUUUUUGCAGGGCCUUGAUCUUGCUUGUGUUUAUGUUUUAGACCAUGUUACUGUUUUAAUGUUGUUGUCUGACAUGUAGGCUACAUGACCAUGCUUCUAGAAUCUUUAGAAUCUUCUCAGAAUCAUAGAAAUUAGUGGUCAAAGUUGUGUGGACGAAACUACCGGAUGAAGUUUCUAGGUAACCCAGAAAUCUUCAUAAGCAGUUUCUGGGCACUACUUUGACCGGCCAAUAUCUCUUGCAUAUGUUGAUGUUAUGAUGACCGAAUGAUAUGUUAUUUUACUUGGACAUGUAUUCUACAAUUAAGAAUCUUUAAAUCAUUCAAACUAGACCUAUAGAGGAAGUUACAAGGAUCGAAAGUGGGCACCUAAGACUGUUCUUCAAUUCUGGAAAACCCAGAAAUUGAAGAACAUGUCUGACAACGUUUUUGAGAGCUUAGAUCUCUCAGAUAAGAUAUGUGUUGGCCAUGAACUUGAUUUAUUAUAAGUAGUAUUACACUUAUACUACAAUCUAAACACUCUAGGUUGGCCAGAAUACUUUAGGAUCAUAGAGAAAAUUAUGGUCAAACCAGACACCCUACACACUGACAAGCAUUUCUGGGUUCGUCGCUAUAGGGCCAUUUAGCGACACUUAAUUUCUGAAAAUUAUAUUUUUAUUAAAUAAUUAGAGAAAAUUAGUUUUUAAUUAUUAAAAAUAUAAAAUAAAUUACUAAAAAUUAUUUUAAAGCCUAAAAAUUAGUUUUUAAUAAUUUUGAAAAUAUUUCAUAAAUAUUUAAUAUUUUUGAAAUAUUAAUGGUAAUUAAUUUAUUUAGUUAUUAUAUUAAAUAAAUUAUUUAAAAAUGAUUUUAAUACUUGAAAAAUCAUUUAAAAUUAUAUUACGGUAUAAGAAAAUAUUUUAAGUUAUUUUUAAUGACUUUUAAUAUUUUGUAAUGAAUUUCAUUAAUAAAUUAAUAUUAAUGAUAAUUAAGUUAUUUAAUAAAUGUAUUAAAUAAAUUAUGAAAAAUAGAAUUAAUGAUAUAAAAUUAUAUAAAAAUGAUUUAAAGGUUAUAAAAAUAUUUUCAGUUAUAAAAUAUAACUUUUGAUAUUUUGUCAUGAAAAAUAUUAAUAUAUUAAUAAUAUUUGAUUUAUUUAAUAAUUAUAUUAAAUAAAUUAGUUUAAGAAUAAAUUUAAUAUUAUAAAAAUCAUUUUAAAUAAACUAAGGUGUUUAAAAAUAUUUUAAUUUAUAAAAUAUAACUUUCAAUAUUUAAAGGUAAAAUUCAUUAAUUAUUUAAUAUUAAAUGAUAUUUGAUUUAUUUAAUAAUUAUAUUAAAUAAAUAGUUUAAAAAUGAUUUUAUUAAUUUAAAAAUUAUUUAAAAGGGAUAUAUUUGAAUUAAAAAUAUUUUAAGUUAUAAUUAAUGACUUUUAAUAUUUUGGUAAAUAGUGCAUUAAUAUUUAAGUAUUAAUGCUAAUUAUUUAAAAAUAAUUUUAAAUAUUUUAAAAAUCAUUUAAGGGUAAUAUUAAUACUUUAAAAAUAUUCUAAGUUAUUAUAAAUAACUUUAAUAUUUUGGCAAUAUUAAUUAUAAUAGAAUUAUUUAAUAUUUAAAUAAUUUUAUAAUGAUUCCAGUGUUUAAAAAGUCAUGAUAAAUUAUAAUGAUUAUUUAAAAAUUAUUAUAAGGUUAUGAAAAAUAAUAUGACUGAUAUUUACAUCUAUUGAACUACAGAAUAGAGUUUUAAACUCGAUAAUUACCCGAUAAAGCUGUCUGUACGCCGACAUGUUUUAGGAAUUGAUCUGGACUUAGAUAACUGGACUAGAUACGUGUUUGUUUGUGAUUCAAUGACUAUUAAAUCUGUGUGACAAUGUGCUUAGGUUAUGCGCUGAUUGCAAAUAACAGUAUUAUGUGUUAUGAUAUGUUAUUCUAAUCGAUAGAAUGAUCUUAUUAAUGAUAGGUUUUGGUAUAAAAGAUAAAAUUAAGUUGCGUAAUUGUAAGCAGCAGACCAGGCAAGUAUCCUACCUUUGCAUUUACUUUAUGCAAUGGACAUAAGUAAGAAAGUUUCAGAAUUAUAUUAUAAUUGUGCCAGAAUAUUAACACUAUUGUUAUCGACUAUGUAGCCGAUCAUUAUUUAUUAGUACAGUAUUAUUGUAUAAUUCAGAUAUUUAUUCUGUUCGUUAAUUUUUAAAUAUGGUUAUACAAGUGUCCCCACUUGGAUAAUCAUUGUAUUUAAUCACAUAUUGAUAUAUACCUAUUGAUCUCCAUUAUGUAUACAUUAAUUAAAAGUUGUCUAAGCUAAUUGACCCAGCUAGACAAAGAUUUAGAUAUAUCAUUGAACAUGAUAAAACUUUAUUGUAUCCAACCGAAUUGUUUUGGUUCGGAUUUCAGACUAAGUAUGAACAUCCCAAACAUGAAAAAACUUUUAUGCGCCUAAGGCAGAAAAGAUGAACGAUAAUAUCGUUCUUGUAUGUAAUAUUGAUCAAUACAGGGCACAUUGGGCAUAUCACCCUCGUGUCUGUAAGUUAUGACAAUUUGUGGAUGAAGUUCAGCUAAACCUUAUCGAAAAUUGAAAACAAAGUUCAUAGUAUGUCGACUACUCUUCAAAUAUAGUCAAUACGUAGUUUCAAAAUUUUGAUAUAGAAUUGUUAUGUUAUUAUUAUUGGUUCAAUUUACUUCACAACUGUUGAGUCGUUGUAGAAGUGUCGUACAAAGAAAAUAUUUACUUCUUUCAACUUAUAUUUAUAAUUGCUAUUACUUGCUGGGCACUCAAAUGCUCAUCCUUGCUUAAUUUAAAUAUUUUUAGCUAAGUGUGAACAACCAGAAGGUUCGACCGAGAACAAUGGAAAAAGGAAAGCAAAUAGAAUAAGUUUAAUUGUAUCUUUUGUAAUAGUUAGACAAUAUUUAGACCAUGAUAUUUAUUAUCUAUCAUGUAAUGUAUUGUAGUAAAGGUUGCGUACUUAGGAUUAGAUUCUGAUCUAUGUAAAUUAAGUUUGAUAUUUAUAUUAUUAUUAUUAUUAGUAUUAUUUCCGCUCAUAGAAAUGGUAUCGUAAAGCACUGAAUUCGGGUUUCAAGUACCUGAAUUUGGGGGCGUUACAAAUGUUGCAUUUACAUUUUUGAUGAAUGUGUACGAAUGCAUUUUACUUACUG
This 4629-nucleotide long non-coding RNA is filed under the name Panax ginseng (ginseng). RNAcentral describes it as "long non-coding RNA (PGIN_LNC004991)". The record is from RNAcentral. Lineage: Eukaryota; Viridiplantae; Streptophyta; Magnoliopsida; Apiales; Araliaceae.